This 73-nucleotide transfer RNA is filed under the name Camelus bactrianus (Bactrian camel). It matches the Rfam family "tRNA". Rfam says of the family: Transfer RNA (tRNA) molecules are approximately 80 nucleotides in length. Their secondary structure includes four short double-helical elements and three loops (D, anti-codon, and T loops). Lineage: Eukaryota; Metazoa; Chordata; Mammalia; Artiodactyla; Camelidae. The record is from Rfam by way of RNAcentral. RNAcentral also lists the same sequence under 2 other names.
GAAGGUAUAGCUCAAGUGGUAGAGCGCCCGCUUAGCAUACACAAGGUCCUGGGUUCAAUCCCCAGUACCUCCU